Molecule: ribosomal RNA, 253 nt
Filed under: uncultured bacterium
Lineage: Bacteria
Description: partial 16S ribosomal RNA
Rfam family: Bacterial small subunit ribosomal RNA
Source: RNAcentral
UACGUAGGUGGCAAGCGUUGUCCGGAUUUAUUGGGUUUAAAGGGUGCGUAGGCGGCUUUGUAAGUCAGUGGUGAAAUAUGGCAGCUCAACUGUCAGGGUGCCAUUGAUACUGCGGAGCUUGAGUACAGAUGAGGUAGGCGGAAUUGACGGUGUAGCGGUGAAAUGCUUAGAUAUCGGUGGGAACGCCAGUGGCGAAAGCGGCAAACUUGACCCUUCCUGACGCUGAGGCGCGAAAGCUAGGGGAGCAAACGGG